AGUUAUCUUUCUGUCAUAUGAAAUAAUGUCACUAAGAAACUGACAACAACUUGAAGCUCUAACCGAUCAAAAAGUUGCUAUUAUAAUUAUAGUUUUUAUAAAAAUUUGGAAAUUAAAUAGAAACUUCAAAUAGAAUUAUUUCCUGAGGUUUGUUUGGACUGGGCAGAGAUCAUAAUGGACAAAAAGAAAGAUAAUAUAUUUGCGGGACUUAGAGCUGCUAUAAUAAUUGUUACAGACAUGCCACUAAUGAUGAUGAAUACGGUGAUGAGGAUAUGUACAGAAAAAGACAAUACCUAUUACCAGAUGGCUAAAGCCAUCGUGAUUGUUAUUGGUGCCUUAAUACGUUUUCUGCUCACCGGCAUAAAGAUUCGAGUUAAACAAAAGAAAGGAAUAAAACACAGAAAAAUGAUAGGGCUUCAUUGUAGAGUAUGUGUAGAGCAGGUGCAAUUUACGUUUGCUAUAGUGCUCUUUAUCCUCUCACAGACUAAGCAAAAUAACCAUGGAGGUACAGAAUUUCAGGUGCCACACGCUUUAUAUGCUAAAAAUGAUGACAGCAAGUACUUUACAAAUGUCAGCAUUUUUUUCAGCCAUCCCUAUCUAGAUUAUAAAUCAAAUUAUGCAGCACACGACAUAAAUUUGAUCAGACUUCUAUCAAUUUACAAGUUGAAAAACUCAAUGACUGAACAAACAGUUAAUAUCCAUUAUGAUUCAAACCACACAAACUUCCUAGUCAAAAUUUCUGGCGAGUCGGACCAAUGCUUUAAAAAAAUGAAAAUACAGUAACCAUGGCAACAAACUGCUCCAGUGAUGAACCACCAAAUGCUGGCCAAUUCGCCUUCACUUUCCACUAUGUCAAGCCAUCACGUUUCAGAUUACUUUACGGCGAAAUCACUUACAACAUGCAUAUUGGCUACAAUGCAAACUGUGAAGUGCCUGACUCUCCUGUGGUAGAUAACACCAGCUCAGUCUUUCUGCACUACUACAGAACUCCCUACAUUAGGGAAGAGAGCAGCCUCCUACCUCUGUCAAACUCUUCCUACAAGUUUUAUCAACUGGGAAAUUUGACUGACGACAUAUGGGGGGGAAGAACCUGCAAGAACCCAGGCAGUCAUGCACCACAUAGGGAUGAGAGCCUAGCAGUUCAAUGCCUGUAGUGGGAUACUGCAGAAACUUUCUGUUAUGUGUGUAUUUUGUAAUAACAGGACUAUGGUUUUGCUUUUGAAGUGUUACAUGAUUUGCUUUAAAUAUCUGGUGAUGAGAUGAAGAUGUGUAGUCAUAUUAAUGAAUGCAGUUAUAUAAAUGAAUGUAGUAAUAUGAAUGAAUGAAGUAAUAUGUAAGAAUUCAAUAUUAUUAAUGAAUGUAGUAAUAUGAAUGAAUACAUUAAUAUGUAAGAAUUCUUCAAUAUUAUUAAUGACUGUAGUGAUAUGAAUGAAUUCAGUAAUAUGUAAGAAUUCAAUAUUAUUAAUGAAUGAAGUAAUAUGAAUGAAUACAGUAAUAUGUAAGAAUUCAAUAUUAUUAAUGAAUGUAGUAAUAUGAAUGAAUACAGUAAUAUGUAAGAAUUCAAUAUUAUUAAUGAAUGUAGUAAUAUGAAUGAAUGAAGUAAUAUGUAAGAAUUCAAUAUUAUUAAUGAAUGUAGUAAUAUGAAUGAAUACAGUAAUAUGUAAGAAUUCAAUAUUAUUAAUGAAUGUAGUAAUAUGAAUGAAUACAGUAAUAUGUAAGAAUUCAAUAUUAUUAAUGAAUUUAGUAAUAUGAAUGAAUACAGUAAUAUGUAAGAAUUCAAUAUUAUUAAUGAAUGUAGUAAUAUGAAUGAAUACAGUAAUAUGUAAGAAUUCAAUAUUAUUAAUGAAUGUAGUAAUAUGAAUGAAUACAGUAAUAUGUAAGAAUUCAAUAUUAUUAAUGAAUGUAGUAAUAUGACUGAAUACGGUAAUAUGUAAGAAUUCAAUAUUAUUAAUGAAUGUAGUAAUAUGAAUGAAUACAGUAAUAUGUAAGAAUUCAAUAUUAUUAAUGAAUGUAGUAAUAUGAAUGAAUACAGUAAUAUGUAAGAAUUCAAUAUUAUUAAUGAAUGUAGUAAUAUGAAUGAAUACAGUAAUAUGCAAGAAUGCAGUAACGGGUUGUAUGAAUGCAGUAAUAUGUAUGAAUGCAGUCAUAUGUAUGAAUAUAAUUAUUUGUAUGAAUGCAGUUAUAUGAAUGAAUGUAGUUAUAUGUAUGAAUGCAGUUAUAUGAAUGAAUGUAGUUAUAUAAUUGAAUGUAGUGAUAUAAAUGAAUUUAACAAUUUGUAUGAAUGUAGUUAUAUGUAUGGAUGUAGUAAUAUGAAUGAAUGUACAAAUAUGUUCAGUAUUUUUCGGGUUAUAUGUACGACGUAUCCCUUAAAUUUUUACGUUUCGAAUCUUGUCAACAUAUAAGACGCAUUGACGUAAACGUCGCCCAUAUUUCAUGAUAAAAUAAUCCCAAAUAUG
Molecule: long non-coding RNA, 2456 nt
Organism: Dreissena polymorpha
Lineage: Eukaryota; Metazoa; Mollusca; Bivalvia; Myida; Dreissenidae
Exons: 2
Source: RefSeq, a predicted model, not a curated record